GACAAUAUUGACACCUUCAUCGAGGUGGGCCACUGGGCUGGGGGUGGGCAGGGCGAGGACUGAUGGCCCCUACAGCUGACCCUGUUCCUCCCUGCAGCACCUAUUUGCCCUGGCCGUGGAUGAUGACCCCGAGGUGCGGAAGAAUGUGUGCCGCGCCCUGGUGAUGCUUCUGGAAGUGCGGAUCGACAGGCUCAUCCCCCACAUGCACAGCAUCAUCCAGUACAUGUUGCAGAGGACCCAGGACCAUGAUGAGAACGUUGCCCUUGAGGCCUGUGAGUUCUGGCUGACGCUGGCCGAGCAGCCCAUCUGCAAGGAAGUCCUGGCCUCCCAUCUGGUCCAGUUGAUCCCCAUCUUGGUGAAUGGGAUGAAGUACUCGGAAAUUGACAUCAUCCUGCUCAAGGGGGAUGUGGAGGAGGAUGAGGCCGUCCCCGACAGUGAGCAGGACAUCAAGCCACGUUUCCACAAGUCACGCACGGUCACACUGCCCCACGAGGCUGAGCGGCCUGAUGGCUCCGAGGAUGCGGAGGAUGACGAUGAUGAUGAUGCUCUGUCCGACUGGAAUUUGAGUGUGUGCCCCUGCCUGGGGGUGCGGGUGGGGUGGCAAACCCUGGACUCCCUC
RNAcentral lists this small RNA (619 nucleotides) under Pongo abelii (Sumatran orangutan). RNAcentral describes it as "retained intron". The record is from RNAcentral. Lineage: Eukaryota; Metazoa; Chordata; Mammalia; Primates; Hominidae.